CAGAGGUCAAACUUCAUCAGCAAGCCAAAAUGUUGUUGAUCAGACUCCUCCUAGGCAGACUACAAGGAAUGAAGAGGUCAUAGCUCAACAUAAUCUACCAAAGUCAACUAGAACAGUGAAGAAUCAUCCUCCUCAGUUGAUCAUUGGAGAUAAAUCAGCUGGAAUCAAGACAAGGAAAGCUCAAGCCAACAUUUGUGCUUAUGCUGCCUUCAUAGCUCAAGAGGAAC
RNAcentral lists this long non-coding RNA (227 nucleotides) under Daucus carota (carrot). RNAcentral describes it as "long non-coding RNA (DCAR_LNC006680)". The record is from RNAcentral. Lineage: Eukaryota; Viridiplantae; Streptophyta; Magnoliopsida; Apiales; Apiaceae.